Apodemus sylvaticus (European woodmouse) is the source of this 156-nucleotide small nuclear RNA. RefSeq annotates it as U1 spliceosomal RNA. NCBI's taxonomy places the organism in Eukaryota, Metazoa, Chordata, Mammalia, Rodentia, Muridae. The record is from RefSeq and is a predicted model, not a curated record. The transcript has a single exon.
AUACUUAGCUGGCAGUGGAGAUACCACAAUCAAGAGGGUGAUUUUCACAGGGCAAGUUUGCACUUGGGAUGUGGUGACUCCUGUGAUAUCCCAAAAUGUGGGAAACUUGACUGCAUAAUUCAUGGUAGUAUGGGACUAUGCUCAUACUUUCCCCUU